GAGUUCAGCUGGUGCUCCUGGCUGGCUAUAGGGAGCUGCAGCACCAUGGAUAGCUCAGUGCUGGCCUGAACACAGAAGAGCCCUGAGGGUAAAGAAGUGGAGUAGAAGAUGUAAAUGUAGUUUCAGGAUCAGAGUAGAUAACAUCUUCCUCCAUUAGCCAAAGGCU
Molecule: long non-coding RNA, 166 nt
Organism: Chelonia mydas (Green sea turtle)
Lineage: Eukaryota; Metazoa; Chordata; Testudines; Cheloniidae
Exons: 2
Source: RefSeq, a predicted model, not a curated record